AUUGAACGCUGGCGGCAGGCCUAACACAUGCAAGUCGAGCGGAUGAAGGGAGCUUGCUCCUGGAUUCAGCGGCGGACGGGUGAGUAAUGCCCAGGAAUCUGCCUGGUAGUGGGGGAUAACGUCCGGAAACGGGCGCUAAUACCGCAUACGUCCUGAGGGAGAAAGUGGGGGAUCUUCGGACCUCACGCUAUCAGAUGAGCCUAGGUCGGAUUAGCUAGUUGGUGGGGUAAAGGCCUACCAAGGCGACGAUCCGUGACUGGUCUGAGAGGAUGAUCAGUCACACUGGAACUGAGACACGGUCCUGGCUCCUACGGGACGCAGCAGUCGGGAAUGUUGGACAGUGGGCGGGAGCCUGAUCCAGCGAUGCCGCGUGUGUGAAGAAGGUCUUCGGAUUGUAAAGCCCUCUAAGUGGGGAGGAAGGGCAUUAAGUUAAUACCUUGCUGUAUUGACGGUACCAACAGAAGAAGCACCGGCUAACUUCGUG
Molecule: ribosomal RNA, 484 nt
Filed under: uncultured bacterium
Lineage: Bacteria
Description: partial 16S ribosomal RNA
Rfam family: Bacterial small subunit ribosomal RNA
Source: RNAcentral